Aegilops tauschii subsp. strangulata is the source of this 1961-nucleotide non-coding RNA. NCBI's taxonomy places the organism in Eukaryota, Viridiplantae, Streptophyta, Magnoliopsida, Poales, Poaceae. The record is from RefSeq and is a predicted model, not a curated record.
UAUUUCCAAUUUGUUUUAUUAUUCUAUAAACGUUCCCUUAAAAAAAGUUACCUUCCAAGCAAAUAAUUAAGCUUGUACUCUGCUUUAGGGAAGUAAUUUUUUACCUUCCCGCUAAAGCCUUCAAUCUCCCUCCAUUUUUUUUAUUUCCCACCAAAUAAUUUGGUCGUGUGUGGCGCCACAAACUCUUAACCUCCCCGUUAAACACCCCUCACAAAUAGUCCCGAUUAUUUCUCUUCGCCAAAUUGUCGAGAUUGGAUCUGAGCUCUCUCGUUCUUGUUCCUCCAUCCUCACGGCGUCAUGACGGCGUCGAGCCGUCGACACUGCAGACCACACCGGAGUCCGUCGAACGUACACUGUCUCAGAAGGGCACAAUGGUGAAUUUGAACGCAAGAUCCUGCUGGUAGGAGACCGAGUACAAUACAUCGACAACUUGCUAGGGAUGCGUCAGGUAAUGUGCAGGCUUCAGAGGAAAGAGAUGAUGCACAUUACUCAUUUCUGCAAGGUACACAACAUCCUUAACUCUUAAUCACUUAUCUGAAUGGUGCACACUAACUUUGGUUAUUCUCUAGUUCUUUAGUGUUGUGCAUCUUGGAUGCUUCUUCAUCCGAUGGGAGUGUAAUUUUCAUAUUUAGGACAAAGCAUGUCUAGAGGUUCAAAACAAAGAAAAUGAAACUCAAGGUCUAAUUUCAAGUGAACAUAGAAACAAUAUUUUGCAGACUGCAUAUAAAGACACUCUACAAUGCAAGUCUUCUCAGCCUCGUGGGUAUGGAUACAUGGCCAAAUCACCAAGUGGUUCAGAAAGGAUUAAGUCCCAGUUUGAAGAGCAAGCUCGUGCUAAAGCAUAGACCCAAAAGGUAAACUCUGAGCUCAGCCAUCAGAUCACCAAGUUACAAGAUCAGUAACAAGCUGAAUGUGAAAGCACACAAGAGAGGAUUAACUUGAAGUGUGCUGAGAGAGAAAACCUUGAGGAGAGGUUAAAAGAAGAGCGUGCUGAAAGGGAAACAUUGUUGGAAGAGGAGCGAAGAUCGAUACUGGAAUUUGAGAAAAACAUGAUGGAAAAGUUUGCGCAGUUGUCCCAAUAGACGGGAACCAACAGAUGCAAACACAUCAGACGCCUGAGAAAAGGACUAGCAACGAAAAUAGUAAUCCAAACUUGCAAAUUACUCUUUUACAGACCGCUAGUACUACUGGGACUAUAGGUACAAGGCACAAUGUAAUUGCUCCAAAUACACUCAUACAAGCCGCAACAAUGAAUUCUUGAAUGUUUCGAGCAAUGGUAAGUCACAAGCUUGGUUUGUCUUCAUGUUGACCUUUAUUUGAUACGUAAAUGGCCUUCAUAAUUGUUUACUUGCUUGCACUACUGUACUUUUUUGUUGUUGAAGCACAUACAAUAGGGAAGCCAGAAAUAGAACCGUUUUCUCACCAUUAGAAAUUGUGAACUUGCGCAAGCAUGUAGUUGUUUCGGAGAAGUUUAGUUGUUCGAUUAAUUUAGGUAAUUAUUCUUGUGUUUGAACUACAAAAUCUUUUGUGAAAUUAUUCAAUUCUUUUUGCAUUUCACCUAAUUGUUGAUGGAGUAGUACAUCAGGCACAGGCAUUUGCUUGCUAGCUGCUGUGGUCAUAACAAUUGGGCGUGAAGGUACCCAUGCAUGCACGAAUAUAGUAAUUAUACAAUUGUCAUGACAGUGGUUAUAUCUUCUAUUGCUUCUUUAUUUUCCUGACUAAGUAUUUUCUAAGCUAAAUAAUUUUUCUCUCUUCAUAGCAGGAUACAAAGAUUUAACUGGAAUGGACUCUAGACCACAGACAAUUUAGUCUUUGCUCUUGAUUAUGAUGGCAAAUUCAAUAUGUUGAAUGCGUGCUAAAUUAUAUUUCAGUUUCAUUUGAUGGAUAUUGGCUAUGCAAACUUUGAUAUUUUAUGAAUCUACAUCAUAUAUGCAUUAUUUGAAGCAUGUAAUUGAAUGCCA